RNAcentral lists this ribosomal RNA (339 nucleotides) under uncultured soil bacterium. RNAcentral's name for it is "bacterial SSU rRNA". It matches the Rfam family "Bacterial small subunit ribosomal RNA", at positions 26 to 394 of the family's 1533-position model. The record is from RNAcentral.
AGAACGAACGCUGGCGGCAUGCCUAAUACAUGCAAGUCGAACGAACACUUCGGUGUUAGUGGCGCACGGGUGCGUAACGCGUGGGAAUCUGCCCUUGGGUUCGGAAUAACAGUUGGAAACGACUGCUAAUACCGGAUGAUAUCGAAAGAUCAAAGAUUUAUCGCCCAGGGAUGAGCCCGCGUAGGAUUAGCUAGUUGGUGAGGUAAAGCUCACAAGGCGACGAUCCUUAGCUGGUCUGAGAGGAUGAUCAGCCACACUGGGACUGAGACACGGCCCAGACUCCGUACGGGAGCAGCAGUAGGAAUAUUGGACAAGUGGGCGCAAGCCUGACUCCAGCAA